RNAcentral lists this transfer RNA (73 nucleotides) under Caudoviricetes sp. Its description in RNAcentral is "tRNA-Arg". It matches the Rfam family "tRNA". Rfam says of the family: Transfer RNA (tRNA) molecules are approximately 80 nucleotides in length. Their secondary structure includes four short double-helical elements and three loops (D, anti-codon, and T loops). The record is from RNAcentral. Lineage: Duplodnaviria; Heunggongvirae; Uroviricota; Caudoviricetes.
GCACCCUUGGUGUAACUGGAUAACACAUAGGAUUUCUACUCCUAUACUCCGAGUUCAAGUCUUGGAGGGUGUA